RNAcentral lists this unclassified non-coding RNA (438 nucleotides) under uncultured Thelephoraceae. RNAcentral describes it as "sequence contains ITS2". The stretch from base 1 to 155 matches the Rfam family "5.8S ribosomal RNA". The record is from RNAcentral. Lineage: Eukaryota; Fungi; Basidiomycota; Agaricomycetes; Thelephorales; Thelephoraceae.
AACUUUCGGCAAUGGAUCACGUGGCUCUCGCAUCGAUGAAGAACGCAGCGAAAUGCGAUAAGUAAUGUGAAUUGCAGAAUUCAGUGAAUCAUCGAAUCUUUGAACGCACCUUGCGCCCCUCGGCUAUUCCUUGGGGCAUGCCUGUUUGAGUAUCAUGAACACCUCCACUCGCAUGGUUUGCCAUGAAGAGCUUGGACUCUGGGGGUUUGCUGGCCAUUUCAGUCGGCUCCUCUCAAAUGAAUUAGCUUGCCAGUGUUUGGUGGCAUCACGGGUGUGAUAAAUAUCUACGCUCGCGGUUGUCUGCCAGGUACCCUUUGGUGACAAAGGUUUGCUGGAGCUCACCAAUGUCCCCCUUCAGAGAGGACAGCUUUUUGAACGUUCGAUCUCAAAUCAGGUAGGACUACCCGCUGAACUUAAGCAUAUCAAUAAGCGGAGGCU